ACCAUCUUAGCUCAGUGGUAGAGCGCGUGGCUUUUAACGACGUGGUCGUGGGUUCGAUCCCCAAAGAUGGUG
Transfer RNA from Ipomoea nil (Japanese morning glory), 72 nucleotides. It matches the Rfam family "tRNA". Rfam says of the family: Transfer RNA (tRNA) molecules are approximately 80 nucleotides in length. NCBI's taxonomy places the organism in Eukaryota, Viridiplantae, Streptophyta, Magnoliopsida, Solanales, Convolvulaceae. The record is from Rfam.